GUACAAUUUUUUUUCCGGCUUUUAUUGUUCUACAUAUAAAUAUAAAUUUUUAUUUCACUAUUGCUUAGAGGGAAAUAAUGAUCACUCCUAUGUUACUAUAAUAGUUAGAACUUAACACUAUGAAGUUAAGAUUUUUACUCACACUAUUGAUUGUAUUUUACUUAACUUCUGGGAGGUGCUCACGCUCCUAUAAUUCCGUUCAAGUUACUGCUGUUAGCACAGCAUCUUCUACUCCGAAUGGUGCCUUUUCGGGUUCAUUUCAAAGUAUAAGCACUGGUGCACCCCGAAAUCCUACAUUCAAUAUGUUUCCACCAUGUUUUCCUUUUUGCAAUGAAGACUAAUUAACCGUAAGUAAUAUCCUGUCAUGAUAAAACUGGGUAGCAGUACCAGUAAGUUAUAUUAAUAUAAUAUAAUAAGACACCUCACAUCACUGUUCUGUUUCGUCCAGAUACAGCGCCAGCACCACAGAGUACUUAUUAGGUAUAGGUAGUCUUUUACUUGGGCUGUAUGCCUACUAUGGUUUCCAUAAGCUACACUGAACGACAUUUUUGAAAAAUGUCAACAAACAACCUUAACCUCAAAGCAUUCAAGCUUUCACGUAAGGUAGUUAUUCGAAUUGUGACUAAAAUGGUUUCUUUUU
Pararge aegeria (speckled wood butterfly) is the source of this 640-nucleotide long non-coding RNA. RefSeq lists it as uncharacterized. The record is from RefSeq and is a predicted model, not a curated record. The transcript is spliced from 4 exons. Lineage: Eukaryota; Metazoa; Arthropoda; Insecta; Lepidoptera; Nymphalidae.